CAUUCCCCCAAACUUAAAGUUUGCAUUGCCUUAAUGCACUAAAAUUAAAAUGCAAUGACAAUAGAAAUGCAAUGACAAUGUGCACUAACAAAAUAAAAAUAACAACUACGUGCAAUGCACGAACACUAUAGCUAAAAAAAUUGAAAAUCAACUAACUCAGUUUUCCUCAGCCAUAGAUGCGGCUGCACGAUGUUUCUUCUUUCUC
RNAcentral lists this long non-coding RNA (205 nucleotides) under Gossypium raimondii (Peruvian cotton). RNAcentral describes it as "long non-coding RNA (GRAI_LNC003605)". Lineage: Eukaryota; Viridiplantae; Streptophyta; Magnoliopsida; Malvales; Malvaceae. The record is from RNAcentral.